UACGGGGGGGGCAAGCGUUGUUCGGAAUUACUGGGCGUAAAGGGCUCGUAGGCGGCCAACUAAGUCAGACGUGAAAUCCCUCGGCUUAACCGGGGAACUGCGUCUGAUACUGGAUGGCUUGAGUUUGGGAGAGGGAUGCGGAAUUCCAGGUGUAGCGGUGAAAUGCGUAGAUAUCUGGAGGAACACCGGUGGCGAAGGCGGGUCUCUGGACAGUUCCUGACACUGAGACACGAAGGCCAGGGGAGCAAACGGG
Molecule: ribosomal RNA, 253 nt
Filed under: uncultured bacterium
Lineage: Bacteria
Description: partial 16S ribosomal RNA
Rfam family: Bacterial small subunit ribosomal RNA
Source: RNAcentral